GGCUGGGAGACAGUGAUGUAUUCUUUCCAAGCACAUAUCUGACUGUAGCGUGCGGAAAUCGUCUGUUUCUGAGUCUCCUUUAC
Small nucleolar RNA from Hemicordylus capensis (graceful crag lizard), 83 nucleotides. RefSeq annotates it as small nucleolar RNA SNORD121A. The transcript has a single exon. NCBI's taxonomy places the organism in Eukaryota, Metazoa, Chordata, Lepidosauria, Squamata, Cordylidae. The record is from RefSeq and is a predicted model, not a curated record.